UUUUAGUAAUUUUUUUAUAAUAUAAUAUAGAUUUUUCAAAAAUAAAAAAAUAAAAAACCACAUGAAUUAAUCAUCUCAACUGAAUUACAAAUAAAUAAAAAAUAGAAAACUACAUGAAUUAUUCAUCUCAACUGAAUUACAAAUAAAUAAAUAAAAUACACAUAAAACAUCUUCCUUCCUUAUGUAAUCAAAUAAAUAAUUGUUUAUAGCACUUAUUUAUGAAGGCUAAAAUAACAUCUCAGCCUUUCAAAACCUUUCAAUCUAAAUAAUAUUAUUUUAUUGCCGUGUUUCAUUAGUACAAACUCCGUAACUACAAGGUCUUUCAAAAUAAGAAAAUGAAAAGUUAUAAUUAAACAAUAACUAAAUGAUGAGUCAUGGAAAUUUGCAUCAAAGAUUAUAUGCACAUCUAUCAGGCACAUGCACAUUUCCCUCCAUCAGUGACAUACAUAAUUUUCAACAAAUAACACUUUGGUCGUAAAUAUGAUGGGCACAUAUAUUUUGGACAAUCAGAAUCUUCGGUACAAUCAAUAAGUGCUGUAAUGAAAAAAAAAAUAUUAAGUAUGUAGGUGAUUUUUCUAAAUAUCUUAUAUUUUAUUUUAAGUUUGUUUUAAAAAAAUUACAUGAUUAUUCUAAAAGUUUUCAUUUACAUUUUUGUUUUUCCUGCAAUUUAGUAAAAAAAAUUAACAAUGAUUUUAAUGACGAUUUAUUAAUUAACGACGAUUUUAGUAGAAGAGUCUAAAAAUAUGAAUGAAAUAUUUUAGAAAAACCGUUUUAAAAAAAAUAUUUUUAAAAUUAAAAGUGAAAUAUAAAAUAUUUAAAAUGAUAAAAGAUAAUAAUAUAUUAUUAUUAGAAUAAGAUAAAUAUUACCUAGGAGAUAAAUAAAUAAAGAAAGAAAUUUGUAAAUGAUAAAAAAUGACUUACCGUCCACGUUCAUUGCAAAAAUAAUUAAGAAAAAGAGGAUGGCAAUAACAUAAACAAACUUAACAACUUCAGACAUAUUUUCUCCCCUCGGUAUGUAUGAAAUAUUAUUUGAUUUGAACAAUUAGUAAUUUAUAAAUGGACAUUCUCUUCUUACAAAAAUUAAAUAGUUUUUAGAGCUUAUAGAGUUGUAAGAAAUUGGAGACAUUAUUAAAUGUUUCUUCAAUGCAUCAAA
Molecule: long non-coding RNA, 1153 nt
Filed under: Lathyrus oleraceus (garden pea)
Lineage: Eukaryota; Viridiplantae; Streptophyta; Magnoliopsida; Fabales; Fabaceae
Description: Pisum sativum (pea) long non-coding RNA (PSAT_LNC038620)
Source: RNAcentral